This 737-nucleotide ribosomal RNA is filed under the name Bacillus sp. CUA-721. RNAcentral describes it as "bacterial SSU rRNA". It matches the Rfam family "Bacterial small subunit ribosomal RNA", at positions 62 to 780 of the family's 1533-position model. Lineage: Bacteria; Bacillati; Bacillota; Bacilli; Caryophanales; Bacillaceae. The record is from RNAcentral.
UCGAGCGAACUGAUUAGAAGCUUGCUUCUAUGACGUUAGCGGCGGACGGGUGAGUAACACGUGGGCAACCUGCCUGUAAGACUGGGAUAACUUCGGGAAACCGAAGCUAAUACCGGAUAGGAUCUUCUCCUUCAUGGGAGAUGAUUGAAAGAUGGUUUCGGCUAUCACUUACAGAUGGGCCCGCGGUGCAUUAGCUAGUUGGUGAGGUAACGGCUCACCAAGGCMACGAUGCAUAGCCGACCUGAGAGGGUGAUCGGCCACACUGGGACUGAGACACGGCCCAGACUCCUACGGGAGGCAGCAGUAGGGAAUCUUCCGCAAUGGACGAAAGUCUGACGGAGCAACGCCGCGUGAGUGAUGAAGGCUUUCGGGUCGUAAAACUCUGUUGUUAGGGAAGAACAAGUACAAGAGUAACUGCUUGUACCUUGACGGUACCUAACCAGAAAGCCACGGCUAACUACGUGCCAGCAGCCGCGGUAAUACGUAGGUGGCAAGCGUUAUCCGGAAUUAUUGGGCGUAAAGCGCGCGCAGGCGGUUUCUUAAGUCUGAUGUGAAAGCCCACGGCUCAACCGUGGAGGGUCAUUGGAAACUGGGGAACUUGAGUGCAGAAGAGAAAAGCGGAAUUCCACGUGUAGCGGUGAAAUGCGUAGAGAUGUGGAGGAACACCAGUGGCGAAGGCGGCUUUUUGGUCUGUAACUGACGCUGAGGCGCGAAAGCGUGGGGAGCAAACAGGAUUA